GGGGGUGCUCCCACCUCUGUCCACGCAGAGGCCUCGUCGGACCAGAGGGGAGACGCCGCCUCGCAUCCUUAGGUCCUCCUUUCCCUCGGGCUGGUAUUUCGCCUUUCGUUCCUCCACGCUUUUCUUCUGCACUGCCCCCGCCCCCUCCCCGCUUCCUUCUCCUCUUCUUUCCUUUCCUCCUCCCCACCCUCUGGCCUGGGCAGCCUAGUGCCGGACCAGGCCCCGGGAGCGCGUGGGAUCUGCGCCGCGCCUCUCGGUGGUCGCGGGGAGGCGGCUCAGGAAAUGCGCCCUCCGCUGGCGCCAGGUCGUGGUUCUCGCUGCGUUACUUUUUCUCGCAGCUGUAGCCGGGCGCGCCGGCCUGGGCGCUGCGGAUCCUCGAGGGGGAAGUUCUCCGAGGGCCUGCUGAAGAGUGGGGGUCCGAGCUGCGGAGACAAUGCGGGUCUGCGGUGCUCCUGUGCGCCCCGCGUCCUAGGACUUCAACUUGGAGUCCAGUUCUGCGCGGAACCGCCUAGGAGCCCCGAGUGCGAAGGCUGAGCUCUCCGCCGGGGCCUCCUGGUCUGCGGCCGCCGCGGGGCGCGCUCUCACUGCCGCGCCUUGCGGGGAGGUUUUUGUAGAUAAAAGCGUCUGCUGUU
Long non-coding RNA from Galeopterus variegatus (Sunda flying lemur), 632 nucleotides. RefSeq lists it as uncharacterized. The record is from RefSeq and is a predicted model, not a curated record. Lineage: Eukaryota; Metazoa; Chordata; Mammalia; Dermoptera; Cynocephalidae. The transcript has 2 exons.